Molecule: long non-coding RNA, 1509 nt
Organism: Thunnus maccoyii (southern bluefin tuna)
Lineage: Eukaryota; Metazoa; Chordata; Actinopteri; Scombriformes; Scombridae
Exons: 3
Source: RefSeq, a predicted model, not a curated record
GGUGGAUGCCAGCGCUGAGGGAGCUGAUGCUGUGCUACUGCAGGAGGACGCGGACGAGGUUGACCACCCAGUAUGUUAUUUUUCACCGACUCGUGGUGGGCUCUGAUUGUGCAAGAUUACAACUUAGAUAUCUGUCACAAAAAGGGUUCAGAAAACGUGUUGGCAGAUGCUUUGUCCAGAGUGUAGGUUACCAACCUAUGUGAUUUGUCUUUUUCUUCAUGUCAAGCAGUCUCCAGUCAUCCAGGCUCCUCCCACUUCCCAGCUGGUAUUGGUGAGGGUCCUGAUUGGAGUGGCCCCUGCUCAAGCCAGCCCUCCAAUCUCAAGGCUUCAAUCCGUGGGCCGAACUGAUAAAUGUCUAGCCAGCCUGCCAGUUGGGGCAGCGGGGAUUAAGGGAGCAGCUCGCUAUGGUGACUCUUAUUGUUGUGUGAUAGCUGUUGUGAGACUAGUAUGAAGCACCCACUUUUUAACUGUGCUUCUCGUGAAUGUUGAAGUCAGGUGCACUGGAUCUAAUAUGAGGCACUCGCUUGUUGUUUGGGCACUGGGCCAGGGGUAGUUAUAAGUAUCACUGAUUGCUCGCGUGCACACAUUAGUUGUUAUUUUUGUUAGCUUCAUCAGGAGCCAGGGUGCUGUUCUUAUUGUGUUUAUUUUAUAAGCCACUGAAAACUAGGCCUAGAGAGUGAGGUGUUAGUUUUGUUGUUUUCUUUGUGUAAGUAAGUUUAGCUCGGAUUUAGGAGUCCUCUUUUGGUUAUAUUGUUUUUUUUGAUUUGAACAGCACCCGCCAGCCCCUCUCCCUCAGUUAGUUGCUUGCCUUUUGUGUAUGUGAUUUCUGUGAACCACCGGCCCUCCUAGCAAUAAAUAACUGUUUAACCAAACAACAUUCUGGUUUUAUGUUGCUUCCCUUCCCCUAGUGAGCUGGGUUGUAACAAUUGUUCAAUUGAAUGUGAUAAUAAACAGAAAGUUUUGGAAAGAGCAUUAAUACUAAUGUUUGGACUUCCUCACAGUAGUGAUCUAACUUACAGAAACAAUUUCGUACUGUAACACUUGAGAAAUGAAAUCAAACUCUUGGAGCUGAGGAUGGAGUGAUUUUUAAAUCAACUCAGAUCCCUCCAAGCACAGCUUUCUGUAUGGAUGUGAUAUACCUCUCUCUCCAGCUAAUGCCUAUGAAUAGUAUCAAUGUCCCCAUGUUUUUGGAGCUGUACAAAUGCUUUAAGCCAUCUUCCAGUCCACAUUAUGCUGGCGAACAGUAUUUGUUAGUCCUGGGGCUCAGCCAGGAGCUGAAUGUCUGCACAAAUGCUGGAACAGACUGAGAGGUGCUCUAUUUUAUGGCAUACCAGACUUUAGUCAGAGCUGGUAUGUUCAUAGUGGCUGCUUGUGGCUGCUGUUUGUGUAUUGUGUUGUGUGUAUUUCCUGUUAGCCUCUACUGUUGUUGAUGCUAUACCGAUAAAGAAGUUUAUUAUCUGAGCAAUGUCUCCAUGGUUUUUUUUAAAAUUCCAGUCCCAGUACCUGGUC